Molecule: long non-coding RNA, 6609 nt
Organism: Bubalus bubalis (water buffalo)
Lineage: Eukaryota; Metazoa; Chordata; Mammalia; Artiodactyla; Bovidae
Exons: 5
Source: RefSeq, a predicted model, not a curated record
CACACACAGGAUAGUCAUUGGAAGAAGAGCUUUUCUGAGUUUUCCUGUAAAGUGGAUAUGAUGAUGCAAGUUGCUGUUAAGAUACAAUAAACACUUAAUAUGUCACUUAAUAUAUAACACUUAAUAUAUCAAGUGUUUGACACGGUGUUGGUGCUCCCUGAUGGAUCUUGAAUGUGUAGCAUGUUUCCACAGUGGUCUUCCUCCUGGGUCACGUUGGUUUGCUGACGUCCCUUCAAGAGAAGUGACCAGAGGCCUGGACUUCAUCGCUGCUGACUGCUGUCCUCCACUGGACAUUAUGUUCUAUUAAUGUGGCCCAAGCUUGCAGUUGUGCUUUCAGCACUGCAGUCUGCUGGAAAGUGUUGGCUCAGCCAAGACCUCGGUGCUUUUGUGAGGGAUGCUCUGAAUCCAAGAGCCUUCAAGGGAAGAUGUGAAGGAAGGGACUGGGUCCUGUGGCAGGAUCCAAGGGCAGUCCUCAGACCUAGCGGCUGUCAUGUCCUUUACAGAAAGGGCGGAGAAGUUGGCCAGCCCCUCCUGGCUCUGCCCUUCUAUGCUCUGGGCCUGCAAGGCAGGAGACCGGAAAGGUAGAAUGAGGCUGGUGAUGGGGAAUGUGGAGGGAAGGGGCGGGUCUGAGGAGAUGCUGGGGUGAGGCGGGGUCUCCAGGCCAGGUGUGAAUGCUCUAGGUUCCCUCAUCCGUGUCUCUUACCCCUUCAGUGAGCCUGGGCCCACCUCUGCUGCUUCUGAUGGAAGGAGUUUGCCUUUGUCUUUGGGGAGGCCAGACUCCUGGCUGAAGGGCAGUGGCUGGAGCAACACCGCCCCCUCAUGGUCUAUUCUGCAAGUGCAGUCAGUGGACCCAUCCUGGAGUUGGGAGCUGCCUUCUGACACCCCACCCAACCUCUUCUGAGGCCCAUAGGCUGCCUCCAGAUCAGCUGAUCAGCUGACUUUGUGGUCCUUGGCUGUCUUUGGCAGCUUGUCCUGUGUACCUAAGAGUGUCCCUUUGUUUCUGGCUUAUGUGAGCCGUCGCUGUCUGCUGUAUAUCUCUCCUGCUCCCUUGGGCUGUCGUCUCCGUGUCUGUGGUCAGCACCUCCCGUCUCUCUUCCCAUCAGUCUCUGUGCCCCCGUCUGUGUUUCUGCAUCUUCUCCUGUCUCUAACUUGCUCCCUGCCCCCCUCCACUGUCUGUGUGUCCUGGAGCUGGGGUCACGGCUGCCCUCCCCCCAGAGCCAGACUGAUUCUUGAGAAGACUGGGCUUUUUAGCUUUUUCCAGGAUGAGUCAGGAACUCCUGGAGGGAUGAGGAUCAAGGUCCCACCCAGCAGUGGCCUCAGAGAGGAUGCCGGAGGUCAGAGGAGUCUCAGGCUGGGCUGAAGACUGUGACAAGACAUUUUCCAAAAUAUGCUCAUGGGGCCAGUGGGAGGCUGGGCGCAUUCCUGCGGAUGUCUAAGAAGCAGAACAAGCAAGCUGCUGGCUGCCAGUGUGGAGCAGGGCUGCUCUAGCUGCCAGCUGUAUGCAGAGCCUUCCAUCUCUCCUCAAUCCUCACCACACUUUCUAUGGCCUCAGGGCCUUUAUACAAACUUUUUCUUUGGAGAAGUCUUUCCCUCGAGGCGUUAGAAAGCACUUCCUUUAGGAAGUCCUCCUGGAUUCGCAGUGUCUGAGAUGAGCCUUCCUCUGUGCCAAGGUUCGCCCAGAGUUGCUUAUAUGGUGCCAGCUGGGUUCUAAGAGAGCGUGGAAGCUCAUAUGGUCUUUUGGAGUCUCACCUUGGAGAUAGGACGCCAUCACUUCUGUUGAAUUUCUACUGGUCAAAGAGAGUUAAAAGGCAGCCCAGAUUGAGUAAGAAAGAAAACAGACUCUACUUCUUGUUGGGAGAAGCUGCAAAUCCAAAUUGCAUGGAUCUCAGUAGGGGAAGAUUUGGGGACACUUUGUAAUUAAUCUACUAUAUCCAGCCGGAAAAACCUCUUGUUUCCCCUCCUCCAGGCUCUGAGUGGGAGAACUUGGAUUUGAUUACCAGGACAGGACGGGCAGGGCCUUGACCACAUGACCUUCUAGGAUUCUUCUAGUUCUGACAUUUUGGGGUCCGAGAUUCAAUCUGAGGAGUGUUGAAACCCUGCCCCUUCCUGUAUCCUCGUGGUAGGACCUAUCCUUAGACAAAAUCAUCAUGUAGAUAUAAGAAACCUGGCUGGUUUUCACGUGUGGUGUAUGAACACAGAAUGACUAUUUUUUGGUCCCACCGUGUAUUCUGUCUCCUGCCUCCAAUUAUACGGAGGAGAGCCUGGUUCUGAGAGGUGAAAUGAAGGUAACACGGCACACCGGUGGCAGCAGCUACAGCCCAGACCUCUGGGCCCCUGGUUCCUUCUCCCGCCCCUCUCUGGCACUGCACCACUCGCCCCUACCGGCUGUCCAUUGCUGAGGCCCCCAGCUCUGCGUCACGCCAGCCUUCCAUGCAGCUGGGCAUUUGCAGCUGGGAAGUAUGGAGGGCCGUGUGUACCUGUGGUCCACAGGCAGGCUGGGCCACUAGGGGUCAUGCUCUAGGGUGGGCUCAGCUGGAUGGUGGCAUAUUCCACAACCUCUUCAGACCCUAGUAUGGUGCUCCGUGGCCCGGACAUGAGUUCCAGGGCUGAUGUGUCCAGCUCUGCAUAGUAGACAUUGGUGUCCUUCAGACCAGAGCUCUAGGAAUGAGGCAGAAGGGAGAGAUGGUAGGAGGCGGUGAGAGACGGGGAGUAAGGACCAGAGGAAGUGUCCCAGGGCCAGGAAUUGGGAUGAGAUGGGGAGGUGUGGGAGUGAAGGAGAAAAGGGAACCAAGAAGGAUUGUGUGGUAUGGAGGGAGGGAGAGAGAGAGAAGACAAAAUCAAUCAGUGAUAAGAGAAGACAUGGGUUCGGAAAAGGUGUUUAUCAAAUCGGCCACACGCAUUUGUGUGCUCUGCUAAGCUGUAUCCCCUUGGACCGCUGUGGCGAUGGGCAGAGGAGGGUGGACCCUGCUCCAGGUCCACUGCACUUGGCUGUCAGAGACCAUUUGGGCCAACCCUCUCCUUUUGCAGAGGGAAGAGACUGAGGCCAAGGAAGGGGACGUGAUGUGGCCUUCCCAGGUCACAUGGAAUAGCUGGCAGGGCAUAAAGUCGAACUUGGAGUCAGAAGACCUGGCUUUAAAUAUCAGCCAGGCCAUGUGCUGCAAUUGGUCAGAUUAUUCAACCCACCCGAGCCUAGUUUUUCAUCUAUAAAAUGGGGGAAUAAAUCUGUUACAUGAAUCAUCACUGUUAGAAUGCAGGCUCCAACUUCCUCCCUGAGCUCUUUGGUAUGACUUGUCUUGACUUGGAAAUUACUAGGUAAGAGUGCUCUGAGGGCAGGGGCUGCCAUGAAACUGAAAAGGCAGAGACACUCCCUGGCACAUAUGGGCAUUAGCUCUGCUGAUGACCCCUUCUGUGGCUGUGCCCAGCUCCGUCCCCUCAAGGGACCUCAGUUUCCCUUUUGGCAAAGUGGUCCCUGAUCUCUGAGGUGCUGCCAGCUCUCAUUCCUGGACCAUUCCUCAUACACACCUCCUCCUCAGCUCGCUGCCCAUGAUGGGCCUGUCCACAGAGCGGGGGCCGAGGAAGAGAGGCCUUGCCUGGCUUUGAGGGCAGGGAGGCGGCUUCUUGCCACGGGAGGCAUUCCCCUGUCUCUGCCUCUUGGUGGGGCUGCCCACACAGUGGGAAGGUCGAGUGUCCUGAUUUCAGCAGCGACUAUCUGGUGUCCAUCAGUGAAGCUGAAGUCAGUGUGAAAGUCGAGUCAAACCCUUUGUGACCCCAUGGGCUGUAGCUGGCCAGGCUCCUCUGUCCAUGGGAUUCUCCAGGCAAGAAUACUGGAGUGGGUCGCCAUUCCCUUCCCCAGGGGAUCUUCUCAACCCAGGGAAGAAACCCAGGUCUCCUGCAUUGCAGGCAGACUCUUUACCAUCUGAGUCACCAGGGACACGUGGCCCUGUUAAGUUUAGCGCAGUUAGCUCCCAACUUCUCAGAUGUGAAAGUCACACCCCGAGGCCUUUCCUUCGUCAACCCCUGUGCUUUCUGAGCCUGCCAGGAGGGCGUGGAGGAGGCACUUCCUCUCCAGGUGGAAGGGGCCCGGGAGGAGGUUGGAGGUAUAGGAGGCCAGUGACAGAAGGAAGGGAAGGGGGCUGAACAGACAGGUGAGGAGCAGUUCCUGGCUCCCUGGCCAUGAGCUGGAGGGCCUGUGAAGGUGGCCAAGGGCCAGGGAGGUGGGCACAAAGCCAGCAGGGCAGUGUGCAAGCACGAGCUGCUGAGGGCAGAGGUCCAGACUCCCUUCAUCCCUGUGGGGCCCUGGAGACAGGCAGAGUGUGGAUUCCACAAGUCAGGACUCCCGUAAGGUGGGAGGGUCGCUGGCACUCUGGGAUGGGGUGAAGACCAUCCUAUGGAGGCCAGCAAUGGAUGCACUGACGGUGUCCCCAUUCCACACACCCAAGGUGUGGCAGGAUGAAUGGAUUCCACCUCUUGACCCUCCCAUCAUCACAAGGAUGUCUAGAGAUAGGUGUGUCAGGUGGGUGUGAGGCUGGGGGUGUCCUGGAGCUGCCAGGCUCAGGCAGGGACCCCUCAGUGGAAUUCCCACUGAGGCUGUCUGCUGAGAGACCACCAGCGUCCAGUAAUUUCUCUACAUGGGCUCUUCCCAACUGAGUGCCCUCUGGAUGGAGCAGGCUGGGCUCUGACCCCUAUGGAGGGCUGGGAGAUUGUGGGCUGAUGGCAAAGUUGGUUUGGGACCGUCUCAUGCAGGUGAGUGGAGGGGAGUUCUCCAAGACACCCUGGCACUUUGCCUUCUAUCUUAACAGAAUCCAUCACAAAGAGACAAAGGAGCAAUGCUCUGACUCCUCCUUGGACUGGGGGAAUCCUUGGCUAGAGAUCAGGGAGCCAGCACCCCAUAGGCAAGGUGUGUCCCUGGCUCUGGGCACCAGUCUUACUAGCCGGUCCCCAUCUCAUCCCAGGAGGCACACACCUCUUGGCUCAAGUUUGGGGAACGGGUAGAAGUCUCAUCUUGGGCAAACCAUUAGUUCCAUCCCAAGCUCAUUUUUGCCCUGGACUUCCCAUAUUCCUUGCUUUGUCUUUCACUGGAGCAGCCAUGGAAAUGCACCACUCCGACCUGCCAUGGGGAGCGGGGCUGAACGACAACUCAGCUCCCGCCUGGCUGGACCCACCAGGGCAUUUGCAGAAGCUGCAUGUCCCCUGGCUGCUCCUGCCAGCGACUGCACACCAGCAGCGCUACUGGAGCUGCCUUCCCGGGGGGCAGGACCUCUCUAAGGCUGGCCUGAGGACUCCUCUUGGCUCAGUAUAAGCUUUCCCAGAGCCACACUGCCAUCUGAGGCUCCCCCUUCCUUCCCCCCUCCUUUCUCAGGCCAGACCUGCCCCUGCCUUCUCCUGUUCCCUCCCCUUUAUCUGUCAGCACUGGUUUUCCCCAGUGAAGCUCUUGGACAUCAAAUCUUGUCUCCGUGUCUCUUCUUGGAGGGCUCGAAUGCACACAAGUGGUACCGGGCAGGGCUGAGAAAAUAGGUGUAAAAGGGAAAGUGGAGAUUUGGGCCUGGCUUACUCACUGCCCAGUGGCAAGGAGGCCCCACCCUGAGCGGAAAGCAGGGCCCAGAGAGUCUCUGGCACAGCUUGGCCGCCCAGUGGUGAAGCUUCCACCAUCAGGGGCCUGGGAGGGCGUGCUGGUGGAGGGGGUGCUCUUUCAGGCACAGUGACUCAGGCUUUGAGAUGCCCAGGAAGUGAGGCUGGAGGGACAGCAGAGUUGACUAGUUAUUAUUUUAGUGAUGUUGUCACUUAUGGAGGGUUCAUGAGAAACUGAGGGUCCCCGACAGGUAAAAGUUCAAUCUAAGAGCCAGAGACCCCUCAGGGAGCUUUCACAGGGCUCCAUUUCUUCCUGCUGUGGAGCAGUGGACACAGGAUUUGAAAGUGAGAAUCAUAGGCUUUGGAGAGGCUCAGCCACGCCAGCUUUGUUCUCCUGUGGGCUCAAGCUGAAAAAAUCGGCAACUCUGAAAGUGAGUUGGGGAUAAGUGGAUAGAGGUCUGUUAGGGAAAUUAAAAGGGAGGAAAUCUUGUUUAGGCUUCAGAAGCAGGAGAGCAGACCUCUGACGGACUUCUGACCCUACCUGGACCGCGUGCCUGCUUGCAAACACACCAGUUGUUUCCAGCAGGUCAGGCAGCACCUUAGACAAGAGACGGAGAGGGUCUUGGAAUUUGCUGAGCUCCUGUAGGCCUGGCCAGCCCCCUGGGGUCUGGAAAAUCCUGUGACUCACAAGGUGAAAACCAAUAGCAUUCUAAAAGUUAAUGGAAAACCAGAACUGCAUUUUUGUGUGCAAACUGACGAUGAUGCCCAUUUGUGGCCUGAGAUUAUAAGUGGUGGCCCCCAAAGCUGCAAUGUGAAGUCUCACCCAUGGGGUGAACACGCUGCCUGGGGCCUUUUGCCAAUCGGGACUCCAGAUUGCUGCUACACGGGCCUUCCCAGCGCUGUUCAAGUCUGGAUGUGGGUUGUCAACCCAGUUUGGUGAAGUAUGUGCUGUUCCUUCUCUCUGUUGUUUCUAUUUCUUUGCUUUUAAUGAUUUAUAUUGAAAUGAAGUUUAAAAAUCCUCUAUUAAAAAUUGAAAUUGUU